AUUGAACGCUGGCGGCAUGCUUUACACAUGCAAGUCGAACGGCAGCGCGGGCUUCGGCCUGGCGGCGAGUGGCGAACGGGUGAGUAAUGCAUCGGAACGUGCCCAGUAGUGGGGGAUAGCCCGGCGAAAGCCGGAUUAAUACCGCAUACGACCUGAGGGUGAAAGCGGGGGACCGAAAGGCCUCGCGCUAUUGGAGCGGCCGAUGUCGGAUUAGCUAGUUGGUUGGGUAAAGGCUUACCAAGGCGACGAUCCGUAGCUGGUCUGAGAGGGCGACCAGCCACACUGGGACUGAGACACGGCCCAGACUCCUACGGGAGGCAGCAGUGGGGAAUUUUGGACAAUGGGGGCAACCCUGAUCCAGCCAUGCCGCGUGCGGGAAGAAGGCCUUCGGGUUGUAAACCUCUUUUGUUCGGGAAGAAAACCUGUGGGCUAAUACCCCGAGGGGAUGACGGUACCGGAAGAAUAAGCACCGGCUAACUACGUG
Molecule: ribosomal RNA, 484 nt
Filed under: uncultured bacterium
Lineage: Bacteria
Description: partial 16S ribosomal RNA
Rfam family: Bacterial small subunit ribosomal RNA
Source: RNAcentral